This is a transfer RNA of Taphrina deformans PYCC 5710, 74 nucleotides long. It matches the Rfam family "tRNA". From Rfam's summary of the family: Transfer RNA (tRNA) molecules are approximately 80 nucleotides in length. Their secondary structure includes four short double-helical elements and three loops (D, anti-codon, and T loops). The record is from Rfam. Lineage: Eukaryota; Fungi; Ascomycota; Taphrinomycetes; Taphrinales; Taphrinaceae.
GGUCGUUUGGCGCAAUUGGUUAGCGCGUGGUGCUAAUAACGCCGAGGCUGUGGGUUCGAGUCCCAUAAUGACCA